CUCCCCCUCCAUGUCUGAUUGUGUUCUGAGGGCUUCCAGACUUGUGUGGAAUCAGUACACCGUGAUCUCACAGUCAUCUCUGGACCUCCCUCAGUCGCUGCUGCUGCUCCGGCUGCCACCUCACCAACAGACGGAAUACCGGGAGUCUGCAAUUUGUGAUCUGCAGCAGUCAUCCCCAGCACCAGAGACUUAUACCACUCACAGGAGAGAUUUUCUGAGUGAAUGGGCUGGAAAUAUCACACCUAGGUCAGUGUGGAGUAAGAUAUCCCUUUACUUCGCUGCACCUGAAUCAAAGCUUCUAAGCAAGUAUUGUGUAGGGAGUACAGGGGUCAGUGAGGAAGGCAUCAAGUCUUUUCAUCAGAGAAAAAUUAUGUUAUAAAGCUUAAGCUCCUUCAAAGGCUUUCAGUGAAAAAAAACCAAAAGUUCUGCUAAAGGUAGAACAGAAAGAAAACCCAGACAACCUCCUCUAAUUAUUAAUCAAAAUUAUCAGAGAGAUACACAUAUUUGACUGACUACAGCAAAUUUUCUGGAUUGUUUUGGUUUUGGAGGAGCUAGUUGAUCAGAGAUUUUUUUUUCAGUUUCAAAGGACUAGACUCCCCCUGACCAUGUGAAUCUAUGAUGGAAUGUGAUUUAAACUCACAGUUAGAGAUGGUAUUGAUUAUUUUGCCUGAUAUGAGGAUAGGAUGUCUUAUAUCUGAAUUUCUUUGCUCUAAAAACACACAGGUCUCUUCGUAAUCUACCUUCCAUACGCUGUGAGUGAAAGUGUUUGGGUUUUAGGGUAAUGGAAGAAAAAAAAUUAAAAUAAUGAACACUUAUGUGUGGAUGUGAGAUAGUUUGGGCAAGUCUUGUUAGUCAUAUUCUUACUAGAGACCAGAUUGUGUGUCAGACCGCCACACCUUCUCUUACAUUCUGCUGAAAUCAUUCAAUAUCUCAGAGAUGCUCCUGUAUCUAUAUUGUAGUCCAGAAAUAUGACAUUCACAGAUGGUAGAGGUCUCAUAAACUGGAAAUACCUUCCCCCACGAAAAAAGUCAUUAUGGAGAGCAAAGGCCAUUCCUUGCUGCACCUUCUCCUGUUUCUGGGAACAUACUAAUAAUCUGCAGCUGUGCUAGCUGGAGACGGGAGAAAAUGAAUAAAUUUGAGUGUAUUUUUCCUGUCCACUGCUCUCAAAAACUGCUUGUGCAAAGGAUGAGACAGAGUUCAGGUAUUUGGCCACCAGUAACUUCUCUGACAAGUUCAUGUCAACUCAAAUUCAAGAUUGACUAUCCCUGAAAAAAUUUUCAUUCCAGUUUGCCUACCAAAAUCUCUGUGUUAAUGAAGUAAUUUUCCAUGAAAAAUAUUAUACUCUGUUGAAUGCGAAAUUUGGAAGGUAUUUCAAAUGGCUUUGUUUUCAAGGUGGUAUUCUUUUCUCUUGCAUCUCCUGGGUAUAGGAACAGUCCUCCCUCCACAGCUCUGGAGAUUUGAGAACAGUCAGGCCUCUGGCUCUUACUUGCUCUGGUAUCUUAUUUUCCAUUUAAGUCUUUCUAAAACUGCUAAAUUAAGUAAUACAUGUUCUUUAUUCUCUUUUUACAUAUUUGGGCCAUAGCAUAUCUCUGGUCUUCUGUUUCUAGACUGUUACUAGGACUCUUCUAUCUACUUCACAGACACCCGGCCCACUUGCUGUCUGUAGUAUAAGUGACAGUGUUCUAUUUAAAAAAUAACACAUAUAUUAAACAAUUAGUUAUAGAGGUCAUGAUUUCAGUAUGUCAGUGAGAUUAAACUGUGCAUCUUCUUCAUGAUAAAAUUGAAUAUUUUUACCUCAUGGGUUUCACGUAAUUAUAAUAUUCAAAUAGAAUCGCUGCACUAGUCAAUCUUUAAAAAUCAAAUUCUGCAUGUGCUAUAUUUAAAACCCACAAGUUCAGUGUCUCUGAGAAAUAACCUCUGUUAUCUUCCAGUUUCAAAUUUGAAGGUAAAGAACUUUACUGUUUCUAUACUGCAAAUUCAAGUGGAAACUGCUUCAAAUGGGAGUGUCGUAAAAGAAUAAGCAGCUUCUCUUUUUUAGAAAAGAGGGUAGGAUUUUUUUCCAGCUCUGGAAAAGGGUUAUAAGAGUCUGAAAGAUCAUUUACAGAAGUAAUUCUUAAGUGUCUGUCUAUCUUAUCUUAAGAUAAAAACCCCACAGACACUGAACUUUCCUCCAGUUGCUACAUACAACAAAUGGAAGCAAUCUAUUUAGUUGAGAUAGCUGUCAGCUAGCCCAAACACUGCUUUGGGUGCUCAGGAGGUGUCUAUUAGCUUCAGUGUAUGUAGAGAAUGAGCCAGCUAGUCAUUUAGCUAUUGAUUUUAAUUAAGCUAAUCUAUUUAUAUACCAGCAGGCUGAUCUGUACCUGUGUUUGGUAGAAAAGUUGUUUAAAAUGAUCCCUGGUACUGCAAGCUCAACAUAUCUUCAUGACACUUUUCAGUCUUAAUUGAAUUUGUGUAAAUUGAAAUAUAUGUAUGUAUCUGUGUGUGUUAAUUUGCCUUUAGAGGGUGAUAUGAUAUGACUUUAAAAUUUUCUUUAUUUAACUAUUUCCUAUGUAAUUUUAAGUUCUCAAACUAUGAAUUAUUAUUUUCCUGUAAUUUUGGCAUUAUUUUAUCCAGUAGAGACAAUUUCUUCAUUACAGAGUUCUUCUUUUGAGUCCUUUCCUCUCAAAAAGAAAGCUUUAUAAAUAAUGGACCUUUUGACUUACUGCCUAACCAACAUCUUCUGUUGUU
Catharus ustulatus (Swainson's thrush) is the source of this 2727-nucleotide long non-coding RNA. RefSeq lists it as uncharacterized. The transcript has 3 exons. The record is from RefSeq and is a predicted model, not a curated record. Lineage: Eukaryota; Metazoa; Chordata; Aves; Passeriformes; Turdidae.